UGAAUAUAAGUUUUUUAAAUUUAUAAUUAAGUCCCUCAAGUACGUAUAAAUUAAGAGCAACAAGGACUCCACAAUUUCAGACCCAGAAAAAAAAAAGACAGUGGAAUCUCUGCAACUUUCAGCUCUCCAUUUCUUCUUCCUUUUUUUCCGGUUCAAAAUCGUAAAUUUGUCUCUCCUUCAAUAGAUUUAAGUGUUUCCCUUCUUCAAUAGAUUUAAGUGUUUCCCUUUCUUUGGGGGGGAUUUUUAGUUGUAAUGGACGAAGGGGAGCUCGAUUUUUCGAACCAAGAAGUGUUUUCUGGUGGCAAUAACAUGGGUGAUAUUCCAAGCAGUUGCUCGAUGGACAGUUUUUUCAAUGAAAUACUCAAUGAUUCUCAUGCAUGUACGCAUACACACACUUGCAACCCACCUGGCCCUGAUAAUUCUCAUACACACACGUGUUUCCAUGUUCAUACCAAAAUCGUGCCUGCCUCAACUGAAGAUGAAGCUGCUGCUGAUGACACAGAGGGCUCUAGGGAGAAGAAACCAAAGAAACGCUCUUUGGGUAAUCGAGAAGCUGUUAGGAAGUAUAGGCAAAAGGUUAAGGCACGAGCAGCCUCGUUGGAAGACGAGGUUGUGAGGUUGAGGACAUUGAACCAGCAGCUGUUGAAGAGAUUGCAAGGGCAAGCUGCAUUGGAGGCUGAGAUUGCACGGCUUAAGUGUUUGCUUGUGGAUGUUCGAGGAAGAAUUGAAGGGGAGAUUGGUUCGUUUCCCUAUCAGAAACCAACAGCUAAUAAUGUUAACACCUUGAAUUUGCCUGGUGCUUAUUUGAUGAAUCCCUGCAAUAUACAAUGCAAUGAUCAGAUGUAUUGCCUUCAACCCGAGGUCGAAGGUAAUACAGGAGAAGCCACAGCGCUGGACGGACAUGGAUUUAAUGGGUGUGAAUUUGAUGAUAUUCAAUGCUUGGCAAGUCAAAACUCUGGAGCAAAGGAGCUUCCUAGAGGUGGGGUUGGAAUUGCAGCGGCCAAUGGCAAUUCUUCUGGCACAAAAAGGAGAAAAGGUGUUCGUCCAGCUACAGCAGGUUAAAGAACUGUUGAGGCGAGCAUUAUCCAUAUUCUAUGGGGUACAUAUUUGUCUUCCAACAAGCAAGUUUCUUUCGGAUCCAUCACGCUCCCUCAGAAUUUAAGGUGGAAUAUCUAUGAUGUUUCAAAUACUGUGAGGUGUGAGCCCCCAUAGCAGGAAGGCCGGAGAUGCCUGCUCAAAGAGGGUAAGUGCCAUCUUUUAACCGAGGUUUUGAUCAAUGAAUGUCUGAUGAAAACUCGUAGUUGUAGAACGGUGAGGGAGUCGUUGAAGGUUACGGUUUUUUCCUGUAACUGCUAACUGUGCCUAACUAUAGCCGCCUUCGAGCUUGUUAGUUGCCACAAAUGUGGCUUUCAAAUUGGAAAAAAAGAUGGUUGAACUGUUUAGUUAGCAGAGAUAAAAUGAGUACUUGAUCUUGAAUUUCCUUUUAGAUGUGUCUUGUUCAUUGCAAUCUGGUACAAGUCCUUUUGUUUUGUUAAAAAGGGAUUUUUUUUAUUUUUAUUUUUUGUUAUGAGUUAAUUACUCACCCAACAAUUCAAUUCUAUCUGUAUUUCCAUUUUUACAUUAACCAAUUCAUGAUAAAAAAAUUAAAAUUGAUUAGUUGAUAGAUUACUUUAUAAUUUUUCAGUUAAUAACUGAGUGACAAAAAAAAUUACUGAUAGUUAAAAAUUAUUUUGCAACUUUUCAUUUUUGGUAAAUAAAAAAGGAGAAAUAAACCAUAAUCGAAUGACAACUAAUAUAACUUAACCUUUUAUAUAUCCGCAAUAAUACAUGUUAAAUUUAAGUUAGGUUCGGCGAUAAAACUCAAUUAAGUUGAAACCAAACUUCAGUGUCAUAAGUUUUACAUCAAAUUUAGUUCAACAGCAGGCACAAGGUUUGAAUAUUAAAUUACAUGUUAAAAGACUCCUAAAGCUGUCCACAUACAAAACAUUAUUAUAAACUCACAAUGAUCUUACUUAAAAAGGUCAUAUCCUUAAAACUCUAAAUCCAACUUCUAUGGACUAUGGAUGGUCUUCGGCAGUUUGAGUGUCAUCCUCGUCUCGAUAUAUACUCUCUGCCAAUUGCCACACUUGAAGUGUGUUGUCUUCAGCUACACUAGAAAUCACCCAUGGCUCAUUUUUGUUCCACGAGAAAUCUGAAAUCUUA
RNA transcript from Gossypium arboreum, 2202 nucleotides. It is a transcript of the gene named basic leucine zipper 23, with no coding region annotated. Lineage: Eukaryota; Viridiplantae; Streptophyta; Magnoliopsida; Malvales; Malvaceae. The record is from RefSeq and is a predicted model, not a curated record. The transcript is spliced from 5 exons.